AUUUGUAUAUUUUAUAAAACCCCUCUUGGUUUAAAGUGUCAUGACUCAUGUGCACCUUUAAUGCCAGGUCAGAAAGAAAUGAAAACGUAUUAAAAGUUUCAUUUUUAAUUGAAAAAUGUUGCCACAUGAUGGCGCAAAAACACUUCUAAAAAUGGACCCAAAAGAAUGAAUUAAUAUAUUGUUCUAAACCUGUAGGCUUUCUUUCUUUCUUUCUUUCUUCUUGGACAGAGAGUUAUGAUGAAUAUUUAGUCUAUUUAAAUUUCUCAAUCUCUAGCACAGGACCGGUUCCAGAAUCAAAUCACUGAGGGUGCUUCAGAAAUUAAGGCUGCUCUUGUACGUGUCAUGUGUAAGCAAACGGCUCCACCAUAGCAAGAAUUGCAAUGCAUAUAGUGAAACAUUUCAGAUUAUUUCGUACAGAACUCACUGCUGAACAAGAACUCCAGCGUUGAGCGGCUCAUUGGGGAAAUUCUCUGCUAUGAGCUCAUCUCCAUCUAUGCAGGUUGACGCAGUGACAAAGCUAUGAACCCUCCAUGAGGCUUAGCAGGGGAGGGAAAAACAACAUCUGAAGCUCAUGGUGGGGCUUCAAAAGUAAGUGAAGCCUCAUUAGUUUUUGUGCUCUCCUGCACCUGCAUCUUUGGUACAGCCACAUGCAGAGUUAAAAAGGCAAUUGAAACACUAACUUGGAUAUACAUAAGUGCACUUCAUAAUGAAACAAAUUAGUCUAUAAUGACUGAUUUGAAAGAUUGACUGAAAAUGUUCUUUAUCAUAUCAUAUGUGUUUAUUGCAUUGUGCUGCAACCUGAUCAUAGAAGCACAAUAAGUGUGGUAUUUUAGUCAGUACAGACAAAGACAAAAACCAUAUGUAGAAUUUGCAAAGAUCUGUGGUGCUUUCAAUGUUUCUGUAAACAGAAUUCAAAAAGCCAGAGUUGACUAAAAGAAGAGCUUAAUUGUUUUUGUAGUUAGUAGUUAGAUGUAAAAUUAAGUAUGUUAGAAAAAAAAUGAAUGGAAGCAGAGUUUGAUUUUGCCUGCAGCUAAGAGUGGGUUUUUCAAAGUCAGAGCGACAUCUCCCCAUUAUCUUUUGAAAGUUCCCUUUCGACUCAGUCUCUCAACAUUGCAUGCUAACGAUAUGGGGUUGCCUGGUUGCAUCACACCAGUAAAAAUGACUAGGCAAUGGUGUUUGAGCACAUAAGUGAGGGGCGGAGUUAUUCACUAUAUAGCUCAGUGUUAUCUUUCUUCUUCAAGAAGCAAGCAUUACAAGCAUUGGAUUAUUUCUCACUGUUGAAGAUGCUUUAAGAGGCUACGCCUCUCAAGGAGUGUCAGGCGUGCAUUUGAUCAAUUGAGCUCCCUGAUGCACAUGAUGCAUGUAUCUUCUGCUUGGGCUGUGCUCAUGCAGAGGCCAUGUUGGAUAGGUCUGACUGUUCUUUCUGUGAGGAAAUGACGGUCAGCACCCUCCGUGCCAGGAUUUCUACCAUCUUGAACUGUGCACCUCCCAUUGCCAUUGAGCCACGGAAGGACAGGCUGAGGCAGCCACGUGCAGUAGGCCUCUUAGAUGUCCGCACCCCGAAGCAGUCCAGUGUACUCUUAUUUUGGGGUCUCUUAUAUUGUACGCCAAAAGAGCAGAUUUUGCCCUUCUGAUGAAGCCAGCGACCUGGUCUCUUUUGGCACCACUGGUGAGGAUGACGUCGAUGAUGAAGAUGUCAUGUUGACUGCAACCUCAGACUCCAGUGAUUGGUUCUGUCAGGAGUCUUCACUUCAUAAUGAAGUGACUGAAAAGCCUCCAGUGGCUAUUGAUGAGGAGCUGUUGGGGACUUGGGCCUUGACUGGUCACCUCCAGAGGAACAAGAUGGAUAUGUGGUUUCUGGAGAAGGGUUGCCAUGUCGUCACCUCCCAGAGACACGCUCCAUUCUUUCCAAAUGCCCACGAUGAGAUAGCUCUCCCCUUACUUGGCCCAAGCCCAGACCGCAGGAUCGCAUCUCCUCGCUUCUGUUGACAGAGCCGACUGCUUGGGAUACACCAAACCGCUGUCCGUCGAGGAGGCUGUUGCAGCUCACCUGUACCCAACCACUCGUAUGUGGAAGCCGUUGUCAUUGUUUUCAUCGAAGCCAUGCCAUGCAUUCAUACUAUGUCACUUCAGCAGAGAUUCAUUCUCUCCUAGCAAAAUAGGCAAUAGAAGUGGUGCCGCCACACAAAACACAGGUCGCUAUUUUCUAGUGCCCAAGAAGGACGAGGGUCUUCACCCCAUUUUGGAUCUAAGACAGCUGAAUCAUAUGCUGGCAAAGCACCCGUUCAAAAUUAUUGGUGUAUAGCGAUCCUUGUACAUAUUCAACCUGGGGACUGGUUUGGGUCUGUGGAUUUGAAAGACAUGUAUUUUCAUAUCCAGUUAGGCCCUCGUCACAGGCGCUUUCUGAGGACACCGCAUAUCAGUUCAAAGUUCUUCCUUUCGGGCUAGCUUUGUCUCCAAGAACUUUUACAAAGUGUGUGAAUGCAGUUCUUUCUCCUCUCAGGCAGAGUGGAAUGCACAUUCUGAAGUACUUGGAUGAUAGCCCAGUCUCAAGAUGUGCUAGAAAGCCACAGGAAACAGCUUCUGGAUCAUUUGCAGUGCCUAGGGCUGUCUAUCAACAUGCGGAAGAGGAUGCUCCAUCCCUCCUUCAGCUUUGGCUGAAAAGCCUGUGUGCCAUGCUCUGUGUUUUAGUGACUCGUGGCUGUAUGGGCACGAUGACCCCUUGGCUCAACAGAACUAUGUAAAGUCGUAAUGACGGAUGCGUCAUUGAUGGGCUGUGGAGCCCUUAGCAAUGGCAGGCUGGCUUGUGGCAUUUGGAUGAGUGCGCAGUCAAAAUGGCAUAUAACUGCCUAGAGCUGAAGGUAGUAUCUUUAGCUUUGCAGCACUUCCUUCUGUUUGUGAAGGACAGUCAUGUCCCAGUUCACAUGGACAACACUUCAAAGGUUUGUGGAACAUUUCCUUUUGGGAGUGGACAGGAACCUCCUAUCAAUACAGGCAGUCCAUGUUCCUGGCUGUCUGAAUUGCGGUGCAUACAUGCUGUCCAGAGGUGGCACAGUUCACUGAGAAUGGAGGCUACAUCCUUAGACAGCCAGAUGAUUUGUUACUCCCAUAAAAGGGGAUGCAUUAUCAAGUCGCUGGCCAAAGAAGCGUAAAUAUGCCUUUCCACCAGUCAAUAUCAUGCUGCUGGUGCUGCACAAGAUCAGGGAGGAACAGGAGGCCAUGUUGCUGGUUGCGCAGAACUGGCCCAAUCAGCUGUGGUUUCCAGAACUGGUGGAACUUCUAGUGGCUCCCCAUGGUCGAUUCUGUUACGGAGGGACCUGCUGUCUCAAGCGAUGGGCACUAUAUGGCACCCCAGGCCAGAGCUAUGGGACCUACAUGUCUGGCAGCUCAGUGCGAGGGGCAGGCAGUGAAUGUGCCGUAAAGUGUAUUGGAUAUGAUUGUGGAAGCGAGAGCGUGUGGGAAGAGAGUGGGUGAUUUACAUGCUAUGUCUACUGAUAUGACUUGUAUGGAGUUUGGUAGAAAUGACUGUAUGGUCAGACUGACACCCAGACAUGGAUAUGUGCCCAAAGUGUUCUUUACACCAUUUGGAGCACAGGUUAUAACGCUGCAAGUGCUCCUCAGGAGACCACGUCUGCACCACAUAUUUUAUGCCCUAUUUGUGCUUUGCGCAUUUUAGACUGUCAAAGCAGCUUUUUGUCUGUUUCAGAGGUUGCGAUUCUAAAAAUGAGAUGUGUCCCGUUGGGGUUUGUGCUCAUUCUACUAGGAGUAUGGCUUUUUUGUGGGCUUUGAAUAAAGGGAUGUUGAUUCAGGACAUUUGUUUGGUGGCAGGUUGGUGUUCUCAGAACACCUGUGCUAGAUUUACACAGCAUGAGAUUCCCUCUUUUGCACCUCAUGUUUUGACUAUUUGCAACUCCCUUCUCUGUGAGUUGAGUGGUUUCAACUAAGUCCAGUACCGAGCUCUGUUCUGAUGCAGUAGCUCAGUUGCUUUGAUUGGAGCAUUUAUUCUGGUCCUCAGCAAAGGGCUUGAGCUGUUCUCGACUGUAACUUGUGCCUGAUUUGUCACUUUAUAUUAGCAACAGAUGUCAUUUGUUUAUUCAUCAGUUUGGUGCUUGCACGCGUUAACACUUGCAGGUGUGUAUAUUGUAAUAAGUACCAGUGAUGCUGUUACUAGUUCAUCUGUGGUUUCUCGUUAUGAGUGUGUUACCCUUGAGUCAGCUCCUUGCCCUGUUAUAGGUCAGAUACUUAACCUAUGUGGUUGGAGUGUGUGACCAUCAUGGGUUUUGAUGUAAAGGAUGCCACACGCUGAAUUGCCCUUCACAGUUUAAUUCCCUUAUCAUCAUUUUAUUCUGCAGAAACACUUACAAUUAUGAAAUAAGGCUCACUGACACAUCACCGACAUCUCACUGUCGCCAGACAAAUAUCUAGUGUGCUAAAAAUUUGGAGCUGUUGGCCAACUCGAUAUCCUGUGGUGUCACGUGUCGCGGCGAGACAUCCAAUGAAAUAUACACUGAUGUCUAUAGAAGCAGCAAUAACAAUCCAUUCAAAUAGCCUAUAAUUUCUGCCACACAGAGUUUCUGCCAAUCUCAUGUUAAUCUUGAGUACAUCUAGAGUAACAAUGCAUCCUUCAUAUAUCCGAAAGGUCUUUAGUUUUGUCAUAUUUAUAAAAGAUAGAUACGCUAAACCAAGUCUUUCCGAAAAAAGCCGAGAUCCUGGAGGCGUUUCUUCCGGCUGAACUAAAGAGUCAUGAUUGCCAACAAACAUAGACAUCUAAUGCAGCUUUACUCACUGACCCCAAUCUGCAAAUCCAGUGCCGAACUGGGACUUGUUUACAAAGUAUUCGUCACCGAAUUCCUGGGAAAAAACAAACAUACAUGCACAACUGUUGUUGCCCCAGAAAAACAAAUUUCAUCCACUGUUCCCUUAAUGCUGGGUUAUUUGGCAAGCUGAAAAGGGUAAUCUUUCCCUCACAACCAAAAACACACUCCUUUGUGACAGGAGCUGCGUCUCAUUUUGGAGGCUGCAUCCUCCGGGGGUCGCAUUUGAAGGCGACCCCUGGAGGAUGCAUAGUAAUUACUAAUAAAAGUAAGUGUAAUAAAAUUGACUAAUAUUCAUUGUGAGGUGUAAAAUACUGUAAUUACCACCCAGCCUGUAAAAUACUGUAACCAC
This is a long non-coding RNA of Megalobrama amblycephala (Wuchang bream), 5166 nucleotides long. RefSeq lists it as uncharacterized. Lineage: Eukaryota; Metazoa; Chordata; Actinopteri; Cypriniformes; Xenocyprididae. The transcript is spliced from 4 exons. The record is from RefSeq and is a predicted model, not a curated record.